AUCAACUUUCGAUGGUAGGAUAGAGGCCUACCAUGGUUUUAACGGGUAACGGGGAAUUAGGGUUCGAUUCCGGAGAGGGAGGCUGAGAAACGGCUACCACAUCCAAGGAAGGGAGCAGGCACGCAAAUUACCCAAUCCCGAUACGGGGAGGUAGUGACAAUAAAUAACAAUACAGGGCUCUUAUGGGUCUUGUAAUUGGAAUGAGUACAAUUUAAACCCCUUAACGAGGAACAAUUGGAGGGCAAGUCUGGUGCCAGCAGCCGCGGUAAUUCCAGCUCCAAUAGCGUAUAUUAAAGUUGUUGCAGUUAAAAAGCUCGUAGUUGAAUUUCGGGGUUCUACCGUUGGUCGGGCAAUAGUCUGUACUGGCGUGUGGAAUUUCUACCUUCUGGGGAACCAUCAUGUUAUUAAUUUAGUGUGGUGGGAAACCAGGACCUUUACCUUGAAAAAAUUAGAGUGUUCAAAGCAGGCUUAUGUCUGAAUACAUUAGCAUGGAAUAAUAAAAUAGGACGGUGGUCCUGUUUUGUUGGUUUCUGAAUCACCGUAAUGAUUAAUAGGGAUAGUUGGGGGCAUUAGUAUUCAAUUGUCAGAGGUGAAAUUCUUGGAUUUAUUGAAGACUAACUUCUGCGAAAGCAUUUGCCAAGGAUGUUUUCAUUAAUCAAGAACGAAAGUUAGGGGAUCGAAGACGAUCAGAUACCGUCGUAGUCUUAACCAUAAACUAUGCCGACUAGGGAUCAGACGAUGUUAAUUUUUCUUGACUCGUUCGGCGCCUUACGGGAAACCAAAGUGUUUGGGUUC
RNAcentral lists this ribosomal RNA (795 nucleotides) under uncultured Glomeromycotina. Its description in RNAcentral is "SSU rRNA". It matches the Rfam family "Eukaryotic small subunit ribosomal RNA", at positions 314 to 1114 of the family's 1831-position model. Lineage: Eukaryota; Fungi; Glomeromycota. The record is from RNAcentral.